This 468-nucleotide ribosomal RNA is filed under the name uncultured bacterium. Its description in RNAcentral is "partial 16S ribosomal RNA". It matches the Rfam family "Bacterial small subunit ribosomal RNA", at positions 28 to 507 of the family's 1533-position model. The record is from RNAcentral.
GACGAACGCUGGCGGCGUGCUUAACACAUGCAAGUCGAACGGAAAGGCCCUGCUUUUGUGGGGUGCUCGAGUGGCGAACGGGUGAGUAACACGUGAGUAACCUGCCCUUGACUUUGGGAUAACUUCAGGAAACUGGGGCUAAUACCGGAUAGGAGCUCCUGCUGCAUGGUGGGGGUGGGAAAGUUUCGGCGGUUGGGGAUGGACUCGCGGCUUAUCAGCUUGUUGGUGGGGUAGUGGCUUACCAAGGCUUUGACGGGUAGCCGGCCUGGGAGGGUGACCGGCCACAUUGGGACUGAGAUACGGCACAGACUCCUACGGGAGGCAGCAGUGGAGAAUAUUGCACAAUGGGCGGAAGCCUGAUGCAGCAACGCAGCGUGCGGGAUGACGGCAUUCGGGUUGUAAACCGCUUUCGCCUGUGACGAAGCGUGAGUGACGGUAAUGGGUAAAGAAGCACCGGCUAACUACGUG